Molecule: ribosomal RNA, 253 nt
Filed under: uncultured bacterium
Lineage: Bacteria
Description: partial 16S ribosomal RNA
Rfam family: Bacterial small subunit ribosomal RNA
Source: RNAcentral
UACGUAGGCAGCGAGCGUUGUUCGGAAUUACUGGGCGUAAAGAGUGUGUAGGCGGUGUUCCAAGUUCGGUGUGAAAUCUCCCGGCUUAACUGGGAGGGUGCGCCGAAAACUGGAAUGCUCGAGCGUGGGAGAGGAAAGCGGAAUUCCUGGUGUAGCGGUGAAAUGCGUAGAUAUCAGGAGGAACACCAAUAGCGAAGGCAGCUCGCUGGGACGUUACUGACACUGAGGCGCGAAAGCGUGGGGAGCGAACAGG